AUACGGAGGACGCGAGCGUUAUCCGGAUUCAUUGGGUUUAAAGGGUGCGCAGGCGGCGUGCAAGUCAGCGGUGAAAGCCCGGGGCUCAACCCCGGAAGUGCCGUUGAUACUGCAUGGCUGGAAUGCGGUCGAGGCGGGCGGGACGUGGCGGGGAGCGGGGGAAUGGGUAGAUAUGCCACCGAACGCCGAUAGCGGAGGCAGCUCGCCAGGCCUGCAUUGACGCUCGGGCACGAAAGCGUGGGGAUCGAACAGGAUUAGAUACCCUGGUAGUCCACGCCGUAAACGAUGGGCGCUCGUCGUCGGCGGCAGACAGUCGGCGGCCAAGCGAAAGCGAUAAGCGCCCCACCUGGGGAGUACGACCGCAAGGUUGAAACUCAAAUGAAUUGACGGGG
RNAcentral lists this ribosomal RNA (392 nucleotides) under uncultured bacterium. RNAcentral's name for it is "partial 16S ribosomal RNA". It matches the Rfam family "Bacterial small subunit ribosomal RNA", at positions 523 to 918 of the family's 1533-position model. The record is from RNAcentral.